This 75-nucleotide transfer RNA is filed under the name Clostridia bacterium. RNAcentral describes it as "tRNA-Glu". It matches the Rfam family "tRNA". From Rfam's summary of the family: Transfer RNA (tRNA) molecules are approximately 80 nucleotides in length. Their secondary structure includes four short double-helical elements and three loops (D, anti-codon, and T loops). Further hydrogen bonds mediate the characteristic L-shaped molecular structure. tRNAs have two regions of fundamental functional importance: the anti-codon, which is responsible for specific mRNA codon recognition, and the 3' end, to which the tRNAs corresponding amino acid is attached (by aminoacyl-tRNA synthetases). tRNAs cope with the degeneracy of the genetic code in two manners: having more than one tRNA (with a specific anti-codon) for a particular amino acid; and 'wobble' base-pairing, i.e. permitting non-standard base-pairing at the 3rd anti-codon position. The record is from RNAcentral. Lineage: Bacteria; Bacillati; Bacillota; Clostridia.
GGCCUGUUAGUCAAGCGGUCAAGACGUCGCCCUCUCACGGCGAAGGCAGGGGUUCGAUUCCCCUACGGGUCACCA